AGAACGAACGCUGGCGGCAGGCCUAAUACAUGCAAGUCGAACGCACUCUUCGGAGUGAGUGGCAGACGGGUGAGUAACGCGUGGGAACCUUCCCAAUGGUACGGAAUAACUCCGGGAAACCGGUGCUAAUACCGUAUAAGCCCCUCGGGGGAAAGAUUUAUCGCCAUUGGAUGGGCCCGCGUCGGAUUAGCUAGUUGGUAAGGUAAUGGCUUACCAAGGCUACGAUCCGUAGCUGGUCUGAGAGGAUGAUCAGCCACACUGGGACUGAGACACGGCCCAGACUCCUACGGGAGGCAGCAGUAGGGAAUCUUGGACAAUGGCGAAAGCCUGAUCCAGCCAUGCCGCGUGAGUGAAGAAGGCCUUAGGGUUGUAAAGCUCUUUUGGCGGGGACGAUAAUGACGGUACCGCAGAAUAACGCCCGGCUAACUUCGUGCCAGCAGCCGC
This 444-nucleotide ribosomal RNA is filed under the name uncultured bacterium. RNAcentral describes it as "SSU rRNA". It matches the Rfam family "Bacterial small subunit ribosomal RNA", at positions 26 to 518 of the family's 1533-position model. The record is from RNAcentral.